UGGCCUGUAGCUCAGUGGUGAGAGCAGUCGACUCAUAAUCGAUUGGUCGCGGGUUCGAAUCCCGCCGGGCCCACCA
This 76-nucleotide transfer RNA is filed under the name Burkholderia contaminans. Its description in RNAcentral is "tRNA-Met". It matches the Rfam family "tRNA". Rfam says of the family: Transfer RNA (tRNA) molecules are approximately 80 nucleotides in length. Their secondary structure includes four short double-helical elements and three loops (D, anti-codon, and T loops). Further hydrogen bonds mediate the characteristic L-shaped molecular structure. tRNAs have two regions of fundamental functional importance: the anti-codon, which is responsible for specific mRNA codon recognition, and the 3' end, to which the tRNAs corresponding amino acid is attached (by aminoacyl-tRNA synthetases). tRNAs cope with the degeneracy of the genetic code in two manners: having more than one tRNA (with a specific anti-codon) for a particular amino acid; and 'wobble' base-pairing, i.e. permitting non-standard base-pairing at the 3rd anti-codon position. The record is from RNAcentral. Lineage: Bacteria; Pseudomonadati; Pseudomonadota; Betaproteobacteria; Burkholderiales; Burkholderiaceae.